Molecule: ribosomal RNA, 492 nt
Filed under: uncultured bacterium
Lineage: Bacteria
Description: partial 16S ribosomal RNA
Rfam family: Bacterial small subunit ribosomal RNA
Source: RNAcentral
AGUGAACGCUGGCGGUAGGCCUAACACAUGCAAGUCGAACGGCAGCACAGUAAGAGCUUGCUCUUACGGGUGGCGAGUGGCGGACGGGUGAAGAAUACGGCGUAAUCUACUUUUUCGGGGGGGAUAACGUAGGGAAACUUACGCUAAUACCGCAUACGACCUACGGGUGAAAGCAGGGGAUCUUCGGACCUUGCGCGAUUGAAUGAGCCGAUGUGGGAUUAGCUAGUUGGUGGGGUAAAGGCACACCAAGGCGACGAUCCGUAGCUGGUCUGAGAGGAUGAUCAGCCACACUGGAACUGAGACACGGUCCAGACUCCUACGGGAGGCAGCAGUGGGGAAUAUUGGACAAUGGGCGCAAGCCUGAUCCAGCCAUACCGCGUGGGUGAAGAAGGCCUUCGGGUUGUAAAGUCCUUUUGUUGGGAAAGAAAAGCAGCAGGUUAAUACCCCGCUGUUCUGACGGUACCCAAAGAAUAAGCACCGGCUAACUUCGUG